Molecule: long non-coding RNA, 257 nt
Organism: Cimex lectularius (bed bug)
Lineage: Eukaryota; Metazoa; Arthropoda; Insecta; Hemiptera; Cimicidae
Exons: 2
Source: RefSeq, a predicted model, not a curated record
UUUGGUCUGUCAGACUCUCCAUUGAUGCGUCACCCUGCUUAUUACCUUUACUACAACAUUGGGUCAACUGAUUACUGAUACUGAGCCAACUAAGUCUUUUCCUGUUAGUCUUGUCCAUUAGAGUAAAUGAUUUUGUAAAAACGUGGGGUAGACUAUAAUUUUGUCCGGGUGUGGAAGUAUGUCGGCUGACACCAGUUUACUCGGACGUUGCGAGCAUCCGCCGGAGUAGCUGACCUGAAUCGGUUUUGAGAUUAAAG